UUUACCUCUCUUUAAAUUCUUCUAUGAAUUUAAAACUGGUGAAAUGGCAUUUAUGUUCUCUGUGACAAUGAUUUGGGGCAUCAACAAAGAUGUGGUAGAGCCUUGAAAGAGAUGUUAAUGUUACAGAUGGGGAAUGGUAAUAGGUUGUCAAAUGUUCUGGGUGGAAAAGGGGGCAAAUGGGAAGAAAUAUAGGGUCAUUUUAGGUUCCUAAGCAAGAAGAUCAUCUGAUAACCGCCAAGCCUCCUAAUUUAUAUUCAGGUAACCAGAGGAACAGAAGCAGAAAUAAAAGAGAAGAACUUGUGGAUUUCAAAGGAGAGAGUUUACAACAGAAGAGGAGAGUAAAGUAUCCAGCCUCCCACCUCCAGACGAAGAUUGCUAAAAGGGGAAAGGAGGAGGGAGCUUUCUUCCAUGAAGAUGGGGGAAGAAGGAAAGAAUGGACUUCCAUGAUUGUGAGAAGGAAGUUGAGUAGCAUGAGAAAAGUUCACAGGACACUGUUCUGCUGCUGGACAAGGCAGCAGGGAAAUGGUACCCAGAAGAUUGCUUUGAUCCAAUUCUCCAUUCAGACACCUUGUGGCAUCCCAGCCAUGUCCAAGGAGUGAGCUGAGCCCAUAAGGAAGCAAGGCUUCCCAGGCAGCUGCAGAGGAAAUAUGUGUGCAUCAGGUAAAAUAUAUUCAUAUCUUUCCACAUGGG
Long non-coding RNA from Marmota monax (woodchuck), 690 nucleotides. RefSeq lists it as uncharacterized. The transcript has 4 exons. The record is from RefSeq and is a predicted model, not a curated record. Lineage: Eukaryota; Metazoa; Chordata; Mammalia; Rodentia; Sciuridae.